RNAcentral lists this transfer RNA (65 nucleotides) under Tuxedo cruralis. RNAcentral describes it as "tRNA-Leu". Lineage: Eukaryota; Metazoa; Arthropoda; Insecta; Hemiptera; Miridae. The record is from RNAcentral.
ACUACUUUGGCAGAAAAGUGUAAUAAAUUUAGAAUUUAUUUAUGUAAUUUAUAUUACAAGUAGUA